RNAcentral lists this ribosomal RNA (484 nucleotides) under uncultured bacterium. RNAcentral's name for it is "bacterial SSU rRNA". It matches the Rfam family "Bacterial small subunit ribosomal RNA", at positions 355 to 837 of the family's 1533-position model. The record is from RNAcentral.
UAGGGAAUAUUGGUCAAUGGAUGAGAGUCUGAACCAGCCAUGCCGCGUGCAGGAAGAAGGCCUUCUGGGUUGUAAACUGCUUUUGCCGGGGGAUAAAAUUCCCAUGCGUGGGACAUUGAAGGUACCCGGUGAAUAAGCCACGGCUAACUACGUGCCAGCAGCCGCGGUAAUACGUAGGUGGCAAGCGUUGUCCGGAUUUAUUGGGUUUAAAGGGUGCGUAGGCGGCCUAUUAAGUCAGUGCUGAAAUAUCCCGGCUUAACCGGGAGGGUGGCAUUGAUACUGAUGGGCUUGAGUGGAGUCGAGGUAGGCGGAAUUGACGGUGUAGCGGUGAAAUGCUUAGAUAUCGUCAAGAACACCGAUAGUGAAGACAGCUUACUAGACUUCAACUGACGCUGAGGCACGAAAGUGUGGGGAUCAAACAGGAUUAGAUACCCUGGUAGUCCACACUGUAAACGUUGAUUACUCGCUGUGUGCGAUAUACAGU